RNAcentral lists this ribosomal RNA (319 nucleotides) under uncultured bacterium. RNAcentral describes it as "bacterial SSU rRNA". It matches the Rfam family "Bacterial small subunit ribosomal RNA", at positions 27 to 334 of the family's 1533-position model. The record is from RNAcentral.
GAGUGAACGCUGGCGGCGGUGCUUAACACAUGCAAGUCGAGCGAAGCACGUUUGAAUUUUCGGAAUGAGAAGUGACUGAGCGGCGGACGGGUGAGUAACGCGUGGGUAACCUGCCUCAUACAGGGGGAUAACAGUUAGAAAUGACUGCUAAUACCGCAUAAGCGCACGUCAUCGCAUGAUGGUGUGUGAAAAAACUCCGGUGGUAUGAGAUGGACCCGCGUCUGAUUAGGUAGUUGGUGGGGUAACGGCCCACCAAGCCGACGAUCAGUAGCCGACCUGAGAGGGUGACCGGCCACAUUGGGACUGAGACACGGCCCAA